AGAGCGGGAGCCCGGAGAUGGGCACUGAGACAAGGGCCCAGGCCCUACGGGGCGCAGCAGUUGCGAAAACUCCACAAUGCACGAAAGUGCGAUGGGGCUACCCCGAGUGCCGUCCGCUGAGGACGGCUUUUCCACGGUGUAAGGAGCCGUGGGAAUAAGGAGAGGGCAAGCCUGGUGUCAGCCGCCGCGGUAAUACCAGCUCUCCGAGUGGUGAGGACGAUUAUUGGGCUUAAAGCGUUCGUAGCCGGCUUAACAAGUCUUCCGUUAAACCCAACGAUCUAAUCGUUGGGCCGCGGAAGAUACUGUUGGGCUAGGAGGCGGGAGAAGCCGACGGUAUUCUCGGGGUAGGGGUGAAAUCCUGUAAUCCCGGGAGGACCACCAGUGGCGAAGGCGGUCGGCU
Molecule: ribosomal RNA, 400 nt
Filed under: uncultured archaeon
Lineage: Archaea
Description: bacterial SSU rRNA
Rfam family: Archaeal small subunit ribosomal RNA
Source: RNAcentral